This 460-nucleotide ribosomal RNA is filed under the name uncultured bacterium. Its description in RNAcentral is "partial 16S ribosomal RNA". It matches the Rfam family "Bacterial small subunit ribosomal RNA", at positions 28 to 507 of the family's 1533-position model. The record is from RNAcentral.
GACGAACGCUGGCGGCGUGCUUAACACAUGCAAGUCGAGCGGUAAGGCCUCUUCGGGGGUACACGAGCGGCGAACGGGUGAGUAACACGUGGGUGACCUGCCCUCAGCUCUGGGAUAAGCCUGGGAAACUGGGUCUAAUACCGGAUAUGACCUUUCCUCGCAUGGGGUUUGGUGGAAAGUUUUUUCGGCUGGGGAUGGGCCCGCGGCCUAUCAGCUUGUUGGUGGGGUGAUGGCCUACCAAGGCGACGACGGGUAGCCGGCCUGAGAGGGCGACCGGCCACACGGGGACUGAGACACGGCCCGGGCUCCUACGGGAGGGAGCAGUGGGGAAUCUUGCGCAAUGGGCGGAAGCCUGACGCAGCGACGCCGCGUGGAGGAUGACGGCCUUCGGGUUGUAAACCUCUUUCGACCCCGACGAAUUUAGACGGUAGGGGUAGAAGAAGCACCGGCCAACUACGUG